UGGGGAAUAUUGCACAAUGGGCGGAAGCCUGAUGCAGCAACGCCGCGUGCGGGAUGACGGCCUUCGGGUUGUAAACCGCUUUCGCCUGUGACGAAGCGUGAGUGACGGUAAUGGGUAAAGAAGCACCGGCUAACUACGUGCCAGCAGCCGCGGUGAUACGUAGGGUGCGAGCGUUGUCCGGAUUUAUUGGGCGUAAAGGGCUCGUAGGUGGUUGAUCGCGUCGGAAGUGUAAUCUUGGGGCUUAACCCUGAGGGUGCUUUCGAUACGGGUUGACUUGAGGAAGGUAGGGGAGAAUGGAAUUCCUGGUGGAGCGGUGGAAUGCGCAGAUAUCAGGAGGAACACCAGUGGCGAAGGCGGUUCUCUGGGCCUUUCCUGACGCUGAGGAGCGAAAGCGUGGGGAGCGAACA
Molecule: ribosomal RNA, 407 nt
Filed under: uncultured bacterium
Lineage: Bacteria
Description: partial 16S ribosomal RNA
Rfam family: Bacterial small subunit ribosomal RNA
Source: RNAcentral